AAUCAACGCUGGCGGCGUGCCUCAGACAUGCAAGUCGAACGCGAAAGUUCCCUUCGGGGAGCAAGUAGAGUGGCGCACGGGUGAGUAACACGUAGGUAAUUUGCCUUCGGGUGGGGAAUAACAGUCGGAAACGACUGCUAAUACCGCAUAAUGCAGCGGCUCGACAUCGAGACAGUUGUUAAAGCGGGGGAGUCCUUCGGGACCUCGCGCCUGAAGAGAAGCCUGCGGCAGAUUAGCUAGUUGGUGAGGUAAUGGCCCACCAAGGCUACGAUCUGUAACCGGCCUGAGAGGGCGGUCGGUCACACUGACACUGACAUACGGGUCAGACUCCUACGGGAGGCAGCAGUCGGG
This 351-nucleotide ribosomal RNA is filed under the name uncultured bacterium. Its description in RNAcentral is "bacterial SSU rRNA". It matches the Rfam family "Bacterial small subunit ribosomal RNA", at positions 32 to 359 of the family's 1533-position model. The record is from RNAcentral.